RNAcentral lists this long non-coding RNA (2185 nucleotides) under Canis lupus familiaris (dog). Its description in RNAcentral is "lncRNA (ENSCAFG00030019222.1)". The record is from RNAcentral. Lineage: Eukaryota; Metazoa; Chordata; Mammalia; Carnivora; Canidae.
GAAUCAACCCUAUCCCUGGGUGAGGCCAGGACCAUGCUGAUGCUCAGAGAAGGGAGAAUGGAUGAUUUUCUACAGUCCUUGGGACCAUCCUUCCAGGACAGAAGCCUUGCAAACAACCCAGUCAUUUCCUGUCUCUACCAGGUGUUCACCACAGCCCAACAGGUCCUGGGCCAGCAAUUCCCCAGCUUCAUUUUGGGAGCUUCCUGUGAAGAGGCAAACGAGUCAAAGAGAGCUGUAGAUGGGGUCCCAAGCCCUCUGGGAAGCGGAGCACAGUCUGGGCCAAUUCGGUGCCUCAAACAUCCAUCCCUUCAACUGUCCCAUCUUGCUCUUCCUACACUUCCCUCUACCACCUCUUCUGACCUCCACAACUGGGGCCAAGAACAGAAGCUUUGGUGAGCAGACCACUCACCAAUCUGCCACAAACCUAAGCCCCGAUACUGGUGUGCAAGGAGGAUGGAGUACACGAGGCCCUUGGCCAUUGAGAAAAGAGGAUAAGUAGAAAAACCAGACUCAUACAGGUUUUCUGGACGACCAGGUCAUCCACUGCAAGGACAGCAACAGGGGGGUUGGAAGUCAUGCUGGGGACAUUCUCUGGGACCCACACAGAAAGAAUGGUGCUAUGGGAGUACCAUGUGGCAUGAAAGGCCAUGCUCUGAAGCUGCUCCGCAUAUGACUCUCCCCAGCACCCUCUCUCCCAUCUUGGGUACCUGGCCUGACCAGAAGCUGCAGGACACCUGGAAAUCCCUGCACUGUGCCUGUUUUGAAGUAAAGGGGGCCUGGGUGCAGGCAAAUUUGUAUGACCUGAAUUGCCAUGCUCCCAUUAUGGUAAUGCCCCGGGAACUUCUGCAGCUCACUGAGGCAGACACAGAGUCAGAGGUGCCAGCUCCACGGCUCCUUCCAGCAUCUCCUCCAUCAGCUGUUCCAGACCUGGAACAAGAGCCUGUGCCUUCUUCAUGCGUACCAGGUCAUGAGCCGCAGUCAGUUCCACCACCAGCUUUCCUGGGGAUUGUCACUCCUUCCCUAAGCAUAAAGACAGAGUGACCUCCAGCCCCAGAGGCGACCUACCACUGGUGCGUAACCCCCGAGCACCAGCUGCAUGAGGAGAAGCCCGGGCUCAUGGACUUCCCUCCCAAACUGGUGGCAGAGCAGUUGACAUCCAUAGACGUGGUGAGCAGCUGGGCACCCAGGACGGGGCUGGGACAGGCUUGCUUUCUGUUGUCAUCUGCCCCAGACCUGCCUUUCCCUGAUGUGGGCUUGUAUGGUCGGGGUCCAAAUCUCAGCUCCAUCACUUACCAACCACAUCAACCUGUCCAGUUCCUGAAACACUUGCUUUCACUGUCCAGCUGCAGACUAUGGAGAUAGACCCUGAGAAGGACUGAUGCAGAGUUCCUGUGUCGAUUAAAUGAGCCAGAACUGAUAGGCAAAUGGACAGGCCCUGGUCCUUGGGUGGGGGAGGGCAACUCACUGUGUGCGGCCAAGCCCAUGGCUCACCCACGCAUCAGCCUUGGAGGCCGAGCACCCUACACUUAUUAGGCAUCUAAUGUGUGCUGAAGUACAGGGAGGCAGACAAAACUGUGGUUGCACCUCCCUCUGUGAGAAUGUGCUGCUGAAAGGGGAGUAGGGCAAGAGGCAUGAACAGUGGGAGGGGAAGAUGCCCCUUUGAGGAGCCCCCUUGAACUGCCACCUGUAACUUGAAGUUAGUGGGGUGAUCAGGGUACAAAUGGCCUCUCCUCCCCCCUGCCCCGCCCCGGCAGGAUCUGCUCCUCGUUCAUCCUGUACUGGACUCCCUCAGUGAAGAGGAAUGAAGUGCAGUCCAGAGACUCUAACUGGGUUCAGGCCAAUUUCUGCGCUUGCUGAACCCCAGCUCUGACAUGGGACCCCUACGUAGGACAUGAAUCUUGCAUGUGAAAUGGCUGUGUGAAAAGACCCUGAACAGCCAGGGGAAUUUUAAAAAAGAAAACCAUAUCUGGGGGCAUCACAAUGCCAGAUUUCAGAUUGUACUAGAAAGCUGUGGUCAUCAAGACUGUGUGGUACUGGCACAAAAACGGACACAUAGAUCGGUGGAACAGAAUAGAGAACCCAGAAGUGGACCCUCAACUUUAUGGUCAACUAAUAUUCGAUAAAGGAGGAAAGACUAUCCAUUGGAAGAAAGACAGUCUCUUCAAUAAGUGGUGCUGGGAAAAUU